UUGCAGCAAAUUAAACCUACCAUUCCCUUUGGGGGGGGUGCAAUGAUUGCAAACAGCAAGUCUCCUCGGUAAUGUAUGCAGCCUGUGGGUAUAUAUAGACUGCCCUAAGUGACUUGGGAGACAACC
This 126-nucleotide small nucleolar RNA is filed under the name Echinops telfairi (small Madagascar hedgehog). Its description in RNAcentral is "Small nucleolar RNA SNORA70 (ENSETEG00000025495.1)". It matches the Rfam family "Small nucleolar RNA SNORA70". Rfam says of the family: snoRNA U70 seems to be exclusive to mammals and is a member of the H/ACA class of snoRNA which contain H (ANANNA) and ACA box motifs. H/ACA box snoRNAs are involved in the conversion of uridines to pseudouridines (5-ribosyluracil) a constituent of structural RNAs (transfer, ribosomal, small nuclear, and small nucleolar). The record is from RNAcentral. Lineage: Eukaryota; Metazoa; Chordata; Mammalia; Afrosoricida; Tenrecidae.